RNAcentral lists this ribosomal RNA (641 nucleotides) under Papilio hospiton. RNAcentral describes it as "partial large subunit ribosomal RNA". The stretch from base 386 to 544 matches the Rfam family "Bacterial large subunit ribosomal RNA", at positions 2473 to 2632 of the family's 2925-position model. The record is from RNAcentral. Lineage: Eukaryota; Metazoa; Arthropoda; Insecta; Lepidoptera; Papilionidae.
UUUUUGAAAAUAAUUUAAAGUCUAAUCUGCCCACUGAUAAAUAUAUUAAAGGGCUGCAGUAUUUUGACUGUACAAAGGUAGCAUAAUCAUUAGUCUCUUAAUUGGUGACUUGUAUGAAGGAUUGGAUGAAAUAUAAACUGUCUCUAAUUAAUUUAUAAAAUUUAAUUUUUUAGUAAAAAAGCUAAAAUAAUUUUAAAAGACGAGAAGACCCUAUAGAGUUUUAUAAUUUAUUUAAUUAUUAUUAAUUUGUAAAUUUUAAAAUUAAAAUUAAAUAAAUUAUUUUGUUGGGGUGACAGAAAAAUUAAAUUAACUUUUUUAAAUAAUUAACAUUAAUUUAUGAAUAAAUGAUCCAUUAAUAUUGAUUAAAAGAAAAAAUUACCUUAGGGAUAACAGCGUAAUUUUUUUUUUUAGUUCAAAUAGGAAAAAAAGUUUGCGACCUCGAUGUUGGAUUAAGAUAAAAUUUAAAUGCAAAAGUUUAAAAUUUUGAUCUGUUCGAUCAUUAAAAUCUUACAUGAUCUGAGUUCAAACCGGUGUGAGCCAGGUUGGUUUCUAUCUUUAAAUAAAAAUAAUAUUUUAGUACGAAAGGAUCAAAUAUUAAAAAUAAUUUUAUAAAAAUGAAUAUUAUUAAUGAUAGUAAUAAA